Molecule: ribosomal RNA, 883 nt
Filed under: uncultured archaeon
Lineage: Archaea
Description: bacterial SSU rRNA
Rfam family: Archaeal small subunit ribosomal RNA
Source: RNAcentral
AUACUGGUUGAUUCUGCCAGAGGCUACUGCCAUCAGAGUUCGAUUAAGCCAUGUUAGUUAAGGGGACCUUCCUUCGGGGAGGUAACCCGGCAGACGGCUCAGUAACACGUGGACAAUUUACCCUUGGGACCGGGAUAACCCCUGGGAAACUGGGGCUAAUACUGGAUAGAGCAUCGGCUGCUGGAAUGCGCGAUGUUCGAAAGCUGAGGCGCCCAAGGAUAGGUCUGCGGCUGAUUAGGUUGUUGUUGAUGUAACGGAUCAACAAGCCUGCGAUCGGUACGGGUUGUGAGAGCAAUAGCCCGGAGAUGGGUUCUGAGAAAAGAACCCAGGUCCUACGGGACGCAUCAGGCGCGAAAACUUUACAAUGUGCGAAAGCGCGAUAAGGGAACUCUGAGUGCCCCCUAAGGAGGCUGUUCAGGUGUCUAAAAAGCAUCUGGAGUAAGGGCUGGGCAAGACCGGUGCCAGCCGCCGCGGUAACACCGGCAGCUCAAGUGGUAGCCAUGCUUAUUGGGUCUAAAGCGUCCGUAGCCGGCUGAGUAAGUUCCUUGGGAAAUUUGACCGCUUAACGGUUAAGCUAUCAGGGAAUACUGCUUGGCUUGGGACCGGGAGAGGUCAGAGGUACUCCAGGGGUAGGGGUGAAAUCUAUUAAUCCUUGGGGGACCACCGGUAGCGAAGGCGUCUGACCAGACCGGGUCCGACGGUGAGGGACGAAGGCUGGGGUCGCGAACCGGAUUAGAUACCCGGGUAGUCCCAGCUGUAAACGAUGCGGGCCAGGUGUUGGCAUUACUGCGAGUGAUGUCAGUGCCAAAGGGAAGCCGUUAAGCCCGCCAUCUGGGGAGUACGGUCGCAAGGCUGAAACUUAAAGGAAUUGGCGGGGGAGCAC